Molecule: ribosomal RNA, 231 nt
Filed under: uncultured bacterium
Lineage: Bacteria
Description: partial 16S ribosomal RNA
Rfam family: Bacterial small subunit ribosomal RNA
Source: RNAcentral
UGAGUAAAGUGGCGUACGGGUGAGUAACACGUGGGUAAUCUACCUUUUAGUGAGGAAUAACGAUGGGAAACCGUCGCUAAUACCGCAUAAGCCGAGAGGGAAAGUCGAAAGACGCUGAAAGAGGAGCCCGCGGCCGAUUAGCUAGUUGGUGAGGUAAGAGCCCACCAAGGCAGAGAUCGGUAGCCGGCCUGAGAGGGCACACGGCCACACUGGCACUGAAACACGGGCCAG